GACGUAGGGUGCGAGCGUUGUCUGGAUUUAUUGGGCGUAAAGAGCUCGUAGGCGGCUCGUCGCGUCGACCGUGAAAACCCGCAGCUUAACUGCGGGCUUGCGGUUGAUACGGGCGGGCUAGAGUUCGGUAGGGGAGACUGGAAUUCCUGGUGUAGCGGUGAAAUGCGCAGAUAUCAGGAGGAACACCGGUGGCGAAGGCGGGUCUCUGGGCCGAUACUGACGCUGAGACGCGAAAGCGUGGGGAGCGAACAGG
RNAcentral lists this ribosomal RNA (253 nucleotides) under uncultured bacterium. RNAcentral describes it as "partial 16S ribosomal RNA". It matches the Rfam family "Bacterial small subunit ribosomal RNA", at positions 524 to 776 of the family's 1533-position model. The record is from RNAcentral.